RNAcentral lists this transfer RNA (74 nucleotides) under Clostridium facile. Its description in RNAcentral is "tRNA-Cys". It matches the Rfam family "tRNA". Rfam says of the family: Transfer RNA (tRNA) molecules are approximately 80 nucleotides in length. The record is from RNAcentral. Lineage: Bacteria; Bacillati; Bacillota; Clostridia; Eubacteriales; Clostridiaceae.
GGCGCCAUAGCCAAGUGGUAAGGCAGAGGUCUGCAACACCUUCAUCCCCAGUUCAAAUCUGGGUGGCGCCUCCA